RNAcentral lists this long non-coding RNA (1280 nucleotides) under Mus spicilegus (steppe mouse). RNAcentral describes it as "lncRNA (ENSMSIG00000012132.1)". Lineage: Eukaryota; Metazoa; Chordata; Mammalia; Rodentia; Muridae. The record is from RNAcentral.
CAUGCAUGCAGACAAAACACCUACUCACAUAAAAUAAUAAAAGAACGUUUUAAAAGAAUUGAUAGAAAAAAAUGUGAUGUAGAUUCCUUUAGAGGAUUUAUGUGUGGACUACAUGGAAGCAAAGACUCUUGAAAACACAUUACCCAGAAAACCUGUCUAAUCUGUCAGUGCAAGAAAAAUUAAGCACAAUGCUUCCUGUUGACGUCACUUCAUCCUGAAAUGGAAACUCCUCAGUGACUCACAUUUUAUCAUCACGAGCAACGCUGCUAGCCUAAAAGUCAGCUAAUUGAAUAAAGACAAGGUUGAAUUAGAGAGCAGCCACCAGCCUCCAACCAAGAGGACGAAAGGAAGCUUCCAGAACAAGAUAAGGAACUUGAGGGACUGUGUGUGGAACUUCAGGUCACCUUGGAUGAUUAACCAAAAUGAAAGAGGAAAAACCAUUUUCAACCAAGGAAAUUUGUGAACUAGAAAUUUACCGUUCCAGGAAGAGAGUUACAGACUCGUUUCACCUCCUACCCACAGCCUUCUUUCACGAGGUCUCGCUUGCAUCAGCCCUCUGAUGCAGAGAUAGCACACAUUGGAUUGCAACCUCACCCUGUCCACGUGGCUACACCAGCUCUACAUAGAGUCACAGCAAGUGGCAGCUGAAAAGCAUGCACUGGGCACUGGGUGGUGACUCCCCUGGCAUCCUGCCUGAGAUCACAGCCUCUGGGCUUCAGACCACUGGCUAGAUGUGCUCUUGGGCCAGAUCACUGGCCCUGCCUGGCCCUGCAACCUCUCCAGCAGAGAGAAAGCCAGCCUCAGCAAGUUUUCAGAGUGGGAGCAAUUUGGAAGUGGUUUGGAAGAGUUCAAUUCCCUGCCUAAAGGUCUAAACAAGCUGAAACUGGAGCUUUUUAUACAAAUGGUUAGAAACGAAAGCAAAAAAAAAUUCAUCAAGCAAAGGUAUAUGUGCAACACAUUGGCCCCUUGGUGUCAUUUGAAGUAAAUUAAUGUGGAGGACCAAAGAAAUGGAGUCGGCAGGAUGCAACGCUCCAGGGACCUGCCUGCGAUUUCGUUCCUAUUGUAGCAAAACCGGUGCUCCCAGCAAGGCUUCAGGGAAAACUACAACGUGCUUAAGUAAGAUUAAUCAGUAAAGCAAGCGUCCACCUAAUGAGUCAUCUUUGACAUCACAAAGCCAGGAAAAUAUAAGGCUGCAGCCUGGCGGCUGUGUACUCCCAGAAGCCACAAAACCGGAGCCGCCCACGUGCGUGGGUGGGUGUGGUCCCUGAGCACACUGGUCU